CGCCUGUUUAUCAAAAACAUCGCCUCUUGUAAAAAUAAAAUAAGAGGUCCCGCCUGCCCUGUGACUAAUAGUUUAACGGCCGCGGUAUUUUGACCGUGCAAAGGUAGCGCAAUCACUUGCCUUUUAAAUGAGGGCCUGUAUGAAUGGCACAACGAGGGCUUAACUGUCUCCUCCUCCUAGUCAAUGAAAUUGAUCUCUCCGUGCAGAAGCGGAGAUAAGAACAUAAGACGAGAAGACCCUGUGGAGCUUUAGAUCACAAGCAGACCAUGUCAAGGACAAUAAUAAAUGACUCAAACAAAUUGGCUACUGUUUUCGUGUCUUUGGUUGGGGCGACCGCGGGAUAAUAAAAAACUCCCACGAGGAUAGAGAAAACCUAUUCUUAUAACCAAGAGCUUCCUCUCUAAGUAACAGAACAUCUGACCUUUAUGAUCCGGCCUAGCCGAUCUACGGACCGAGUUACCCCAGGGAUAACAGCGCAAUCCUCUUUUAGAGUCCAUAUCGACAAGAGGGUUUACGACCUCGAUGUUGGAUCAGGACAUCCUAAUGGUGUAGCCGCUAUUAAGGGUUUGUUUGUUCAACAAUUAAAGUCCUACGUGAUCUGAGUUCAGACCGG
RNAcentral lists this ribosomal RNA (613 nucleotides) under Oryzias latipes (Japanese medaka). RNAcentral describes it as "partial 16S ribosomal RNA". It matches the Rfam family "Bacterial large subunit ribosomal RNA", at positions 1797 to 2619 of the family's 2925-position model. The record is from RNAcentral. Lineage: Eukaryota; Metazoa; Chordata; Actinopteri; Beloniformes; Adrianichthyidae.